GGGGAUGUGGUGGAAUUGGUAGACACGCUAGUCUUAGGAACUAGUGCCGCAAGGCGUGAAGGUUCAAGUCCUUUCAUCCCCACCA
Molecule: transfer RNA, 85 nt
Filed under: Candidatus Saccharimonadota bacterium
Lineage: Bacteria; Candidatus Saccharimonadota
Also listed under: 2 other names
Description: tRNA-Leu
Rfam family: tRNA
About the family: Transfer RNA (tRNA) molecules are approximately 80 nucleotides in length.
Source: RNAcentral